Molecule: ribosomal RNA, 890 nt
Filed under: uncultured Amphibacillus sp.
Lineage: Bacteria; Bacillati; Bacillota; Bacilli; Caryophanales; Bacillaceae
Description: bacterial SSU rRNA
Rfam family: Bacterial small subunit ribosomal RNA
Source: RNAcentral
GAUGAACGCUGGCGGCGUGCCUAAUACAUGCAAGUCGAGCGCGUGAAACUAAACAGAACUCUUCGGAGUGACGUAUAGCGGAUCGAGCGGCGGAUGGGUGAGUAACACGUGGGCAACCUGCCUAUAAGACUGGGAUAACUUACGGAAACGUGAGCUAAUACCGGAUGAAACCUCUUAUCACCUGGUAAGAGGAUGAAAGAUGGCUUUUAGCUAUCACUUAUAGAUGGGCCCGCGGCGCAUUAGCUAGUUGGUGAGAUAAAAGCUCACCAAGGCAACGAUGCGUAGCCGACCUGAGAGGGUGAUCGGCCACACUGGGACUGAGACACGGCCCAGACUCCUACGGGAGGCAGCAGUAGGGAAUCUUCCGCAAUGGACGAAAGUCUGACGGAGCAACGCCGCGUGAACGAAGAAGGUUCUCGGAUCGUAAAGUUCUGUUGUUAGGGAAGAACACGUACCAUUCGAAUAGGGUGGUACCUUGACGGUACCUAACGAGAAAGCCCCGGCUAACUACGUGCCAGCAGCCGCGGUAAUACGUAGGGGGCAAGCGUUGUCCGGAAUUAUUGGGCGUAAAGCGCUCGCAGGCGGUUUUUUAAGUCUGAUGUGAAAUCUUGCGGCUCAACCGCAAGCGGUCAUUGGAAACUGGAGAACUUGAGGACAGAAGAGGAGAGUGGAAUUCCACGUGUAGCGGUGAAAUGCGUAGAGAUGUGGAGGAACACCAGUGGCGAAGGCGACUCUCUGGUCUGUAACUGACGCUGAGGAGCGAAAGCGUGGGUAGCGAACAGGAUUAGAUACCCUGGUAGUCCACGCCGUAAACGAUGAGUGCUAGGUGUUAGGGGGUUUCCGCCCCUUAGUGCUGGCGUUAACGCAUUAAGCACUCCGCCUGGGGAGUA